Molecule: ribosomal RNA, 496 nt
Filed under: uncultured bacterium
Lineage: Bacteria
Description: partial 16S ribosomal RNA
Rfam family: Bacterial small subunit ribosomal RNA
Source: RNAcentral
GAUGAACGCUGGCGGCGUGCCUAAUACAUGCAAGUCGAGCGAACAGAUGAGGAGCUUGCUCCUCUGACGUUAGCGGCGGACGGGUGAGUAACACGUGGAUAACCUACCUAUAAGACUGGGAUAACUUCGGGAAACCGGAGCUAAUACCGGAUAAUAUAUUGAACCGCAUGGUUCAAUAGUGAAAGGCGGUUUUGCUGUCACUUAUAGAUGGAUCCGCGCCGCAUUAGCUAGUUGGUAAGGUAACGGCUUACCAAGGCAACGAUGCGUAGCCGACCUGAGAGGGUGAUCGGCCACACUGGAACUGAGACACGGUCCAGACGCCUACGGGAGGCAGCAGUAGGGAAUCUUCCGCAAUGGGCGAAAGCCUGACGGAGCAACGCCGCGUGAGUGAUGAAGGUCUUCGGAUCGUAAAACUCUGUUAUUAGGGAAGAACAAAUGUGUAAGUAACUAUGCACGUCUUGACGGUACCUAAGCAGAAAGCCACGGCUAACUACGU